UGCGAGUGAUAAGAUCCGUAGUCGAAAGGGAAACAGCCCAGACCACCAGUUAAGGUCCCCAAAUAUAUGUUAAGUGGAAAAGGAUGUGGGGUUGCUUAGACAACCAGGAUGUUGGCUUAGAAGCAGCCACCAUUGAAAGAGUGCGUAAUAGCUCACUGGUCGAGUGACCCCGCGCCGAAAAUGUACCGGGGCUAAACAUAUUACCGAAACUGUGGAUGAACCUCUUCGGAGGUUCGUGGUAGGAGAGCGUUCUAAGGGCGGUGAAGUCAGACCGGAAGGACUGGUGGAGCGCUUAGAAGUGAGAAUGCCGGUAUGAGUAGCGAAAGAAGGGUGAGAAUCCCUUCCACCGAAUAUCUAAGGUUUCCUGAGGAAGGCUCGUCCGCUCAGGGUUAGUCGGGACCUAAGCCGAGGCCGAUAGGCGUAGGCGAUGGACAACAGGUAGAGAUUCCUGUACCAGUGCUAAUUGUUUAACCGAUGGGGUGACACAGAAGGAUAGGGAAUCGCACGAAUGGAAAUGUGCGUCCAAGCAGUGAGUGUGAGAAGUAGGCAAAUCCGCUUCUCGCGAAGCAUGAGCUGUGAUGGGGAAGGAAAUUAAGUACGGAAGUUCCUGAUUUCACGCUGUCAAGAAAAGCCUCUAGGAAGAGUAGUACUGCCCGUACCGCAAACCGACACAGGUAGAUGAGGAGAGAAUCCUAAGGUGAGCGAGAGAACUCUCGUUAAGGAACUCGGCAAAAUGACCCCGUAACUUCGGGAGAAGGGGUGCUCUAUUAGGGUGCAAGCCCGAGAGAGCCGCAGUGAAUAGGCCCAGGCGACUGUUUAGCAAAAACACAGGUCUCUGCAAAACCGUAAGGUGACGUAUAGGGGCUGACGCCUGCCCGGUGCUGGAAGGUUAAGAGGAGUGCUUAGCUUCGGCGAAGGUACGAAUUGAAGCCCCAGUAAACGGCGGCCGUAACUAUAACGGUCCUAAGGUAGCGAAAUUCCUUGUCGGGUAAGUUCCGACCCGCACGAAAGGCGCAACGAUCUGGGCACUGUCUCAACGAGAGACUCGGUGAAAUUAUAGUACCUGUGAAGAUGCAGGUUACCCGCGACAGGACGGAAAGACCCCGUGGAGCUUUACUGCAACCUGAUAUGGAAUGUUUGUACCGCUUGUACAGGAUAGGUAGGAGCCGAAGAGACGUGUGCGCUAGCAUACGAGGAGGCAAUGGUGGGAUACUACCCUGGCUGUAUGACCAUUCUAACCCGCCACGCUUAGCGCGUGGGGAGACAGUGUCAGGUGGGCAGUUUGACUGGGGCGGUCGCCUCCUAAAGAGUAACGGAGGCGCCCAAAGGUUCCCUCAGAAUGGAUGGAAAUCAUUCGCAGAGUGUAAAGGCACAAGGGAGCUUGACUGCGAGACUGACAAGUCGAGCAGGGACGAAAGUCGGGCUUAGUGAUCCGGUGGUUCCGCAUGGAAGGGCCAUCGCUCAACGGAUAAAAGCUACCCCGGGGAUAACAGGCUUAUCUCCCCCAAGAGUCCACAUCGACGGGGAGGUUUGGCACCUCGAUGUCGGCUCGUCGCAUCCUGGGGCUGUAGUCGGUCCCAAGGGUUGGGCUGUUCGCCCAUUAAAGCGGCACGCGAGCUGGGUUCAGAACGUCGUGAGACAGUUCGGUCCCUAUCCGUCGCGGGCGCAGGAAAUUUGAGAGGAGCUGUCCUUAGUACGAGAGGACCGGGAUGGACACACCGCUGGUGUACCAGUUGUUCCGCCAGGAGCAUCGCUGGGUAGCUAUGUGUGGCAGGGAUAAACGCUGAAAGCAUCUAAGCGUGAAGCCCCCCUCAAGAUGAGAUUUCCCAUUUCUUCGGAAAGUAAGAUCCCUGAAAGAUGAUCAGG
Molecule: ribosomal RNA, 1866 nt
Filed under: Listeria monocytogenes
Lineage: Bacteria; Bacillati; Bacillota; Bacilli; Caryophanales; Listeriaceae
Description: partial 23S ribosomal RNA
Rfam family: Bacterial large subunit ribosomal RNA
Source: RNAcentral